RNAcentral lists this ribosomal RNA (256 nucleotides) under uncultured archaeon. RNAcentral's name for it is "partial 16S ribosomal RNA". It matches the Rfam family "Bacterial small subunit ribosomal RNA", at positions 521 to 776 of the family's 1533-position model. The record is from RNAcentral.
UAAUACAGAGGUCCCAAGCGUUGUUCGGAUUCACUGGGCGUAAAGGGUGCGUAGGCGGUUAAGUAAGUCUGACGUGAAAUCUCCGAGCCUAACUCGGAAACUGCGUUGGAAACUAUUUGACUAGAGGAGUGGAGGGGAGACUGGAAUACUUGGUGUAGCAGUGAAAUGCGUAGAUAUCAAGUGGAACACCAGUGGCGAAGGCGAGUCUCUGGACAUUUCCUGACGCUGAGGCACGAAAGCCAGGGGAGCAAACGGG